CAGGUCGACGAUUAGAGUUUGAUCCUGGCUCAGAUUGAACGCUGGCGGCAGGCCUAACACAUGCAAGUCGAGCGGAUGAAGAGAGCUUGCUCUCUGAUUUAGCGGCGGACGGGUGAGUAAUGCCUAGGAAUCUGCCUGGUAGUGGGGGAUAACGUUCCGAAAGGAACGCUAAUACCGCGUACGUCCUACGGGAGAAAGCAGGGGACCUUCGGGCCUUGCGCUAUCAGAUGAGCCUAGGUCGGAUUAGCUAGUUGGUGAGGUAAUGGCUCACCAAGGCGACGAUCCGUAACUGGUCUGAGAGGAUGAUCAGUCACACUGGAACUGAGACACGGUCCAGACUCCUACGGGAGGCAGCAGUGGGGAAUAUUGGACAAUGGGCGAAAGCCUGAUCCAGCCAUGCCGCGUGUGUGAAGAAGGUCUUCGGAUUGUAAAGCACUUUAAGUUGGGAGGAAGGGCAGUAAGUUAAUACCUUGCUGUUUUGACGUUACCGACAGAAUAAGCACCGGCUAACUUCGUGCCAGCAGCCGCGGUAAUACGAAGGGUGCAAGCGUUAAUCGGAAUUACUGGGCGUAAAGCGCGCGCAGGUGGUUCGUUAAGUUGGAUGUGAAAGCCCCGGGCUCAACCUGGGAACUGCAUCCAAAACUGGCGAGCUAGAGUACGGUAGAGGGUGGUGGAAUUUCCUGUGUAGCGGUGAAAUGCGUAGAUAUAGGAAGGAACACCAGUGGCGAAGGCGACCACCUGAUACUGACACUGAGGUGCGAAAGCGUGGGGAGCAAACAGGAUUAGAUAC
This 790-nucleotide ribosomal RNA is filed under the name Pseudomonas sp. S11. RNAcentral's name for it is "bacterial SSU rRNA". It matches the Rfam family "Bacterial small subunit ribosomal RNA", at positions 1 to 785 of the family's 1533-position model. Lineage: Bacteria; Pseudomonadati; Pseudomonadota; Gammaproteobacteria; Pseudomonadales; Pseudomonadaceae. The record is from RNAcentral.